RNAcentral lists this ribosomal RNA (429 nucleotides) under Chloroflexota bacterium. RNAcentral describes it as "Chloroflexi bacterium partial 16S ribosomal RNA". It matches the Rfam family "Bacterial small subunit ribosomal RNA", at positions 355 to 776 of the family's 1533-position model. Lineage: Bacteria; Bacillati; Chloroflexota. The record is from RNAcentral.
UGGGGAAUAUUGCACAAUGGGCGCAAGCCUGAUGCAGCCAUGCCGCGUGUAUGAAGAAGGCCUUCGGGUUGUAAAGUACUUUCAGUCGGGAGGAAGGUGGUAAGGUUAAUAACCUUAUCAAUUGACGUUACCGACAGAAGAAGCACCGGCUAACUCCGUGCCAGCAGCCGCGGUAAUACGGAGGGUGCAAGCGUUAAUCGGAAUUACUGGGCGUAAAGCGCACGCAGGCGGUUGAUUGAGUCAGAUGUGAAAUCCCCGGGCUUAACCCGGGAAUUGCAUCUGAUAAUGGUCAGCUAGGGUCUUGUAGAGGGGGGUAGAAUUCCAUGUGUAGCGGUGAAAUGCGUAGAGAUGUGGAGGAAGACCGGUGGCGAAAGCGGCCCCCUGGACAAAGACUGACGCUCAGGUGCGAAAACGUGGGGAGCAAACAGG